AAGCCCGCGUCCGAGAAGAAGUCCAUCUCCUUCGAGGACGAGCAGCCCGGCUACGAGCCGAAGCCCCGCCCAUCGACGCCAUCGCUGACGUCAUCACCACCGACGUCGACGUCGUCCCCGAGCGGAGGCGCAUGACCGCCAAGGAGAGGUGGCUCUGGGCCUACAGCAAGAUCCUACAUCAGCUAAACGUGAGUAAUUCAGUUCCAUGUUUCGUAGUCCACACUUUAUGCGAUCUCUUUCCACUUUUCACUCAAGUUUAAAUGGUAGAUCAAUCGAUACAUCGGAAAUCACGCCACGCCGCCAGUGAAAGUUGCGUGUCGGAGCGUGGCAGCAGGACCGGCAUCUCGCAUCUCGCAACAGGUGUUUAGCUUCAUCCCCGCUACAGGACAGGAACAAGGGCGCUGAGACGUGAGGGUGGAAGACCCUGGACCCUGUUUUUCGCCGCCCUCCCAUUUUCUCCUCGAACGCGUUGCUGAUGUGAUCGAC
Molecule: long non-coding RNA, 486 nt
Filed under: Bemisia tabaci
Lineage: Eukaryota; Metazoa; Arthropoda; Insecta; Hemiptera; Aleyrodidae
Description: lncRNA ENSSSA2NGG005509
Source: RNAcentral